AGGAGGCAGCAGUGAGGAAUAUUGGACAAUGGGGGCAACCCUGAUCCAGCCAUGCCGCGUGAGUGAAGAAGGCCUUAGGGUUGUAAAGCUCUUUUGGCGGGGACGAUAAUGACGGUACCCGCAGAAUAAGCCCCGGCUAACUUCGUGCCAGCAGCCGCGGUAAUACGAAGGGGGCUAGCGUUGUUCGGAAUCACUGGGCGUAAAGCGCACGCAGGCGGAUUGAUAAGUCGGGGGUGAAAUCCCGGGGCUCAACCUCGGAAUUGCCUUUGAUACUGUCUGUCUUCGAGUUCGGGAGAGGUUGGCGGAAUUCCUAGUGUAGAGGUGAAAUUCGUAGAUAUUAGGAAGAACACCAGUGGCGAAGGCGGCCAACUGGCCCGAUACUGACGCUCAUGUGCGAAAGCGUGGGGAGCAAACAGGAUUAGAUACCCCAGUAGUCUA
This 438-nucleotide ribosomal RNA is filed under the name uncultured bacterium. RNAcentral describes it as "bacterial SSU rRNA". It matches the Rfam family "Bacterial small subunit ribosomal RNA", at positions 343 to 797 of the family's 1533-position model. The record is from RNAcentral.